GAACGAACGCAUAAUUUUUUAAAUUAAUAAUAAAAAAAUUUUUUAAAUUUAUUACAUAAUUAUUUUUGAAAAAAUGUUUUACAGUUUAUUGUACUGUAUCUAAUAAUGCAGUAAAAUCUUAAGUGGUUGCAUACAAAAGAUAUAAUGAAAAUGUAAAAUCAAGUAUUCAGUUAAAUGUAGGAACGCGUAUGCAAUUUUUUAUUCACUAAUGGAUAGCGAAUUUUCCAGCAUAUGGAAAAAUAUGUUUAAGAUUUUAUGAAAAUUAUGCAGUAUAAAAUUUUUGUAUAAGUUAAAAUAAUUUUUUAUAUAAAUACUAUACGUGGAAAAUUAUGAAUUUAUAAAAAAUAAACCGGAGUUCGCGGCCAGCGCAACGGACUUUUUACCAGUAAUCGAUGUUAAGUUUAUCGAAAGCCGGGCGACAAUCACCGGAAACUGUCGCAUUGUGGAGAUUGAAGCAUCAGCUAACAGAAGUUACCGGCAAACCGAAUUCAGGAGACAAUAUAAAUUUGCUUACUACGAUAAGCGUUAGUAUUGUUAUUAUAAUAUCUUCUCAAAAUGAAAAACUUUGUGAAAUGCGCGGCAUUACUAUAAUUUAUAAUCACAGGUGGAAUAAAAUGAUGUUCAGUUACUAAAAAAUUCUCUUAAGGCUACUUUAUGGCUGUAAAUUAAAAGUUUAUCACGUAAUCGUAAAACUUUCAUAUCAUUAUUUAACAGCGCGUAAGAAUAAGAUGC
Molecule: long non-coding RNA, 732 nt
Filed under: Androctonus crassicauda
Lineage: Eukaryota; Metazoa; Arthropoda; Arachnida; Scorpiones; Buthidae
Source: RNAcentral